UCGGGAAUAUUGGACAAUGGGCGAAAGCCUGAUCCAGCCAUGCCGCGUGUGUGAAGAAGGUCUUCGGAUUGUAAAGCACUUUAAGUUGGGAGGAAGGGCAGUUACCUAAUACGUAUCUGUUUUGACGUUACCGACAGAAUAAGCACCGGCUAACUCUGUGCCAGCAGCCGCGGUAAUACAGAGGGUGCAAGCGUUAAUCGGAAUUACUGGGCGUAAAGCGCGCGUAGGUGGUUUGUUAAGUUGGAUGUGAAAUCCCCGGGCUCAACCUGGGAACUGCAUUCAAAACUGACAAGCUAGAGUAUGGUAGAGGGUGGUGGAAUUUCCUGUGUAGCGGUGAAAUGCGUAGAUAUAGGAAGGAACACCAGUGGCGAAGGCGACCACCUGGACUGAUACUGACACUGAGGUGCGAAAGCGUGGGGAGCAAACAGGAUUAGAUACCCAUGUAGUCCCUGAGCGGGCUGGCAAGGCGCAU
This 472-nucleotide ribosomal RNA is filed under the name uncultured bacterium. RNAcentral's name for it is "bacterial SSU rRNA". It matches the Rfam family "Bacterial small subunit ribosomal RNA", at positions 355 to 825 of the family's 1533-position model. The record is from RNAcentral.